GAGUAUUAUUGCUGUGGAGCUCUGUUAUACACUCAGACACAUUACUGGGAGUAUUAUUACUGUGGAGCUCUGUUAUACACGCAGACACAUUACUGGGAGUAUUAUUGCUGUGGAGCUCUGUUAUACACGCAGACACAUUACUGGGAGUAUUAUUGCUGUGGAGCUCUGUUAUACACUCAGACACAUUACUGGGAGUAUUAUUGCUGUGGAGCUCUGUUAUAC
RNAcentral lists this long non-coding RNA (222 nucleotides) under Pelobates cultripes (western spadefoot toad). The record is from RNAcentral. Lineage: Eukaryota; Metazoa; Chordata; Amphibia; Anura; Pelobatidae.